GUCCACGCCGUAAACGAUGAGCACUAGUUAUUGGAGGUAUUGACUCCUCCAGUGACGCAGCUAACGCAUUAAGUGCUCCGCCUGGGGAGUACGGUCGCAAGACUAAAACUCAAACAAAUUGACGGGGGCCCGCACAAGCGGUGGAUUAUGUGGUUUAAUUCGAAGCAACGCGCAGAACCUUACCUAGGCUUGAACUCCUACGAAUCCGGGGUAAUGCCUGGAGUGUCCGCAAGGAAAUGUAGUGAGAGGUGCUGCAUGGCUGUCGU
This 266-nucleotide ribosomal RNA is filed under the name uncultured bacterium. Its description in RNAcentral is "partial 16S ribosomal RNA". It matches the Rfam family "Bacterial small subunit ribosomal RNA", at positions 793 to 1055 of the family's 1533-position model. The record is from RNAcentral.